CCUACGGGCGGCAGCAGUGGGGAAUAUUGGGCAAUGGGCGCAAGCCUGACGCAGCAACGCCGCGUGAAGGAAGAAGGCUUUCGGGUUGUAAACUUCUUUUCUCAGGGACGAAGGAAGUGACGGUACCUGAGGAAUAAGCCACGGCUAACUACGUGCCAGCAGCCGCGGUAAUACGGGGGGUGCGAGCGUUAAUCGGAAUUACUGGGCGUAAAGGGCUCGUAGGCGGUAUGUCAAGUCAAGGGUGAAAUCCCCGGGCUUAACGUGGGAAGUGCCUUUGAAACUGGCAAACUGGAGUGUGUGAGAGGAGAGUGGAAUUCCAGGUGUAGGAGUGAAAUCCGUAGAUAUAUGGAGGAACAUCAGUGGCGAAGGCGACUAUCUGGCACAUAACUGACGCUGAGGAGCGAAAGCGUGGGUAGCAAACAGGAUUAGAUACCCUGGUAGUC
This 443-nucleotide ribosomal RNA is filed under the name uncultured bacterium. Its description in RNAcentral is "partial 16S ribosomal RNA". It matches the Rfam family "Bacterial small subunit ribosomal RNA", at positions 338 to 795 of the family's 1533-position model. The record is from RNAcentral.